This is a non-coding RNA of Amborella trichopoda, 2301 nucleotides long. The record is from RefSeq and is a predicted model, not a curated record. Lineage: Eukaryota; Viridiplantae; Streptophyta; Magnoliopsida; Amborellales; Amborellaceae.
CCCCAUCAUCUUUAAAAAACUUAUUUCAUUAUUUAAUCUCCCUCUCGCUCGCUCUCUCAUUGCUUUCUAACUCUGCUUUCAUAUUUUGAUUUCUCUCUCAUCUGCCUUCUAACUAUUUUUGCGUAACUUAAUCUCUCUCUCUAAUAUGCUGCUUUGAUAAUUUAAAUUUUUUUUUAAAUUAAUCAUGAAUAUUGCGUUCUGAUUAUGUUUUUUACUGAAGAAUAUGGAAGUUUUUAUAUUUUUUAGUUGGGAUUUGGUGUUCUUUUUCUCUCUUUAUUUAGAGGAUUUUAGAGUUUAGGAUUUUAUAUAUGUUUUUCUUUAUCUAGGGUAUUUUAGAGUUCAGGGUUCUAUGACUGUUUUUGUGGGUUAUUGGUUUUAUUUUUUCUGAUAUUUUUUACUGUAAAAUACAGGUGAAAAUAUGAAUAAAAGAAUCAAUUUGGGUUCAAUGAAUCUUUUAGCAAUUAAAAGAAAUAGUAAAUUUACUGAUCAAUUUGGGUUCAAUGCAUUUUUUUCUGAUAUUUAAGGAGUUUGGAUUCAUUUAAUCUGAUUAUUUGGUUUAUUUAAUUUGUAUAUUGGAAGCUUGCAAACAUGUUUAUUCAAUUAAAUUUCUUACAUUUUGGUUCAUAUUAAACACAGUGAAUCUAAAGAGCAUAUAGAACCUUCUGUAACAAUGAACAAUACCUCAUUUUCUUUUUUCAUUUAUUCCUGUCAUUUUGGAUUGAGUUUUCACAGAGAGAUGGAGGGAGUCUACUUCGAUGCGAAGUUUCCUUGAAGAAAUAGCGCGAACCUAAAAUUUCGGGAAAUUUCGUAUCGGAUCUUGCCCCUUCGACGUCUGGUAUGGUCUUUCCGCUUUCUCACUGAAACGAAACCCCGAAACUCAAUCAAAUUGCCGAAAUUUCGGUCCGCAGAUUCGGCCCCGAAUCACGUUCACGCUUGUCGAAAGCAUGUAAAUCGCCCUUCAAAAGCCAGUUACUUCCAAGCUCUCUUCCUGGUUAACAAUGGCGACUGAAAAUCCCGAAAAUUUUGGGGUGAAUUUCUUGAAAAUGCUGCGGAUUAGAAGAAGAAAAGAAGUGCCUCUCACUGUGGAGCUUUCUAAGCCAGUAACAAACCCUAUAUAUCAAGGGGUUCCUCCUCCAAGAUCGAGCGAGGCCAUGGAGUCGUGCCCUAAAAGAGAUGGAUACGUGAAAGAUGAUUUUGCAGAGGAAAAUCUCUAUCUCUAUACAGAGGAAGGUGAGCAAGGACGCUUGCCAGUGUUGAUUCUCAGCCUGAGGGAGAGAAAUCAAUGUAGAAGGCCUGCAGUUGUAAUUUUGCAUAGCUCCUAUAAAUGCAAGGAAUGGAUACGGCCAUUACUUGAGGCUUAUGCUUCACGAGGAUAUGUAGCAGUUUCGGUCGAUUCCCGCUAUCAUGGUGAACGAGCAAAUAGUGCGACAGCUUAUCGAGAUGCGCUCGUGUCAGCAUUGAAGAAUGGUGAUACAAUGCCUUUCAUUUAUGACACGGUGUGGGACUUGAUAAAAUUGGCUGAUUAUCUUACUGGGAGAAAAGAUGUUGAUCCUUCAAGAAUAGGGAUAACUGGUGAAUCACUAGGAGGCAUGCAUGCAUGGUUUGCAGCUGCCGCAGAUACUCGUUAUGCAGUAGGUGUCCCCAUAAUUGGUGUACAGGGAUUUCGAUGGGCCGUAGAAAAUGGUAGAUGGCAUGCUCGAGUAGAAAGUAUAAAAGCUGUAUUUGAAGGUGAGAUCAGUUCUUGGGCAGCUUCGUGUUGGCUGGAUGGCACAUCACAUAUGCAUCGUAAAUGCAUAGCACCAAAUCAUCCUGAUUUAUGGAACUUGCCACGCUUCAUGUUUUUUAGGUGGAAAAGACUAACUUACGUGAUUUAGUCGAUAUGGUUUCUUUCUUAUUUGUUACAUGAAAUAUGGGAUACAAUGUAUAAGGUUUCAUCUAUCUUCCUUUUCUUUCAGAAAUUGAUAGAAUUCACUUAAAAAAAGUCUGGACUAUCCUAAGUUACCAAAGAUAACAGAAAGUUCUAGUUGGAAGCACCCCAUAAGUGACCGCCCUCUCACAUUUGCAGAAGCAAAUGAGCAUAUGUUUAUGUAAAAUAAGCACGGACGGAUCUAUGUAAAAGUGAGAUUGAUAGCGAAAUAGUGGAGAAGGUUUGCUUAGCUUUAUGAUUUUCUUUUCAACAUGGUCAGUGGCUAUAGAUUAUAUUUUUCAUUUUACAUGAAAAGCCUCCAAUGGCUAGAACUGAAUAAUUGAUCUGCAAGCACACAAAAGGCAGAUGCUCUUCCCACCCAAAUUCUCUCUCUC